GCGCGGCCAAAAAAUCACUAAGUGUCGACUUUUGACUCGCAAUUGAUUCAGCUGCUUGCGCGUUUGAGCUUUGCCGCGAAUAGACACACACAAGAUCCGAGGAAACCGAGGAGUCUUUUGUCUUUUUCGAUUUUGUCUGCGUUCUUUCGAGAGGAAGAACGUCGAUAGUCUUUCGUACCUGUUUAGGCGAUUAUCAAAUGUUAUUUUUUUAGAUUCAAACAUUGUAGACGAAAAUUGAAUUUGUUGGAAAACAAAAAUAUAUGUUUUCUAGAGUUUUUACUUUAGUUUCGAUUUGCGAAAAUUUUAUGAUCCUUAUCAAAUGUAGUUUCCUAAAACCGAAGUUUUAAAGGUAGAAGCUAUCGAUAAUUGUGUAUCAUGUAACAAAUAUUUACUUAUUGUUAGCAUGGUACUUACGUAGCUAAUUGUCUUGAUUGUUUUCUUUUGUCCAAUGUGUUUUAUGUUACGUGUGAGAUUGAUGAAAUUUAGAUUCACUGAUCAAACUUAAAAGUGCGAUGUAAAAUUCAUUACAAUAGUUACUUUUUGAUGAGAUGUUAAAAAAAUUAAAGUGGCCAACGUAUCAAAAGAUAGUGACGAUAUUGAAGAAAAGGAAUAAUAGUUUAAAGUAAUAAUUUACUUAGUAAUUCGUUCGAAAAGCAUAUUUUUUUCAUCACAAAGAAGCAAACGUACCUAUAAAUAUCAAUUAUCCGUACUGCCCGGAUAGACGAUCCCGAUUUCUCCACUGCUGCAAACAAAGGGUCAACUUUGUGAAUUUUUUUGUGACAUCUUCGUGGCGAACUAUUAACUGCGUUCUAUCUGCGAUGUGUGACGUCAAAUUCGUCACACACUUUGUCAGAAGGUGUGUCUUUUGUUCCGAUCGAAAAAAAAAUAUGUAUAGCUUUUUCUCGGGAAGAAAAUGUUCUGACACUCUCGUUUAAUGUGACAUACGUGACCCUCUGAAAUUGCGGCGUUUCGAAUCGAGGCGGUAUUGUUGUACGUGCGAGGACGCAUCUUGUUACCUGAGAAUGUACUUAGUCAUGUCAAAAUAAAACAAUAACAUACGCCUGUUUUAAAAUUAAAAUAAAAGUUAAAUAAAAAAACCUUUUUACUAGAAGAGGAUUUUCCGCUCUUAAACGUCACGCGACUCGAGUUGCAAUCUUGUAGAAUAUUGCGUCUUUGUUUUCAUCCAUUUUUCUGUCUUUUCUAUUUUUCUCUCUAUAUCUGCGUUUUCUUUAUAUAUACAUAUAUAUAUAUAUAUAUACACACACACAUAUAUUUCUCUUGUGUUUCUCUUCUGACGAAUAUUCUUUUUGCAUGAAAUUCUGAUGCGUUUAUCGUCGGCGAAAAUAUUUCCGAGACGCAGCGCACGAGCGUUUUCGAUCGAUGUUGACCGUGUGACGAUCUUUUGUAGGUAACAGAGCGCUUUACAACAGCUUCAGUAAAUACAUGAAGAUACGGGAUUUGCGGUUCAACUCGGACACCGGCAAGUUUCACUGUCCCAAUUGCAACAACGGCUACGGCAGACGAGACACCAUGCUCGCUCACUACAGAUACGAGUGCGGCAAAGCGCCCAGAUACAAGUGCCCGUACUGCAACCUCUGCAGCAAGAAGACUUCCAACGUUUAUCAGCACAUCAGAUCUAUGCAUCGCGAGAGACCGGUGACGCUCAUAAAACUCUAUUGAAUUCCCGCAACUCAGGUUAACUAUUAUUGCUUUUGAAAAUAUCGGAUAAACAACGUGAAGGAAACUAACAAGAACAAAGACGGACAUAAAACGUUAAAACUCCUUCCGUUCCGCUAUUUGCCGAGAAACGGACUGCAUCUAACGUCUCAGGGAAAUUUCACUAACACGUUUGCGUGAUUCUUUGAGUUGUUUGAAAAUUUUGAUUUUUCAAAAAUCGAUUACUUCGUCACUAUAGUUUUACGUUAUACUAUACUACGUUAUAGUAUAUUUAUCCACGGCGUUUUUGUCAUUAGCGUUGUAUAUUCUGCGAUGACGUUCUAUUAGUUUUAAUAUUUAUUUAUUAUUACUAAAUGUAACAAUUUUAUACAUAUAGAAACAUAGAUCGAAGUUUAUCAGAUAAUAAGAAUCCUAAUAAGUUUUUUCGUGCUUUUUGCAAGAUUAUUGUACAUAGAUCAUCUAUUAUUAUACAUCAUGUAAAAAAUAAAGAACGCACGAAGAGAAUCUCUCUAUCUUUUAUUUACGAUAAUGCUGCGUGUUACACGUGACAUACAUAUUUGCAGAUAUGUUUAUUAUAGGUUUUUUUUUUUCUAGAGGGGUCACAAUUUCUUACAUUAUCUCUCGUCAAUUCUCAUUCCGUCCUUCCCUAGAAUUUUUGUCAAGGUUGGAAUCACCGAGAAGUGAUUUUUACUUAAAAAUUGAAAAAAAAAAAACAUCUUAAGAAAUUAAAUUUUAUUUGUUUUAACAUGUACAGAGGGGAGGUAAAUUUCUUUCACCAAAGAUCGUAUCACAAAAAUUAAUUGUCAAAUCGAGCGCCGAUGUGGAACAAUCGAAUUGUGAAUAAAUCUUGUUAGAUUUUUUUCAGGCGAUCUAUAGCUACGUGUAUAGGAAGGCCUAUCAUUAUACUAACACGACGAAGAAGUCAUCGCCAGCAUCAGAAACACGCUGACUACAUCCGUUGUGUGGUAAUUAAAACACAUGUUAGGCAAACACAUAAGAAUUAAUUCACAAUAUUAAUAUUAUAAUUUUAAUGCCGAAAAACAGUUCUCGCGCGAGAAAUAUUCAGGUUACUCAAGAGAGAAACGCGCAGCUCACUCUCGUAUCAACUUGCAACAGGUGCUGCUGUAUUUAAGUUUUUGUCUUCUCACACACGAUCCUUUUUCUUGUUUUUUUUUCUUUUGUUUUUUCAUUAUUAGCCGUAUUAUUAGUAACCGUAUCAGUAGCCGUGUGCGAACGUGCCGACAAUGAUUAACACGAGAUGACAUCGGUUUCAGAAUUACGGAGCGACGUACCGGCAAUGGACAAGCAAUCUCACAAUCAGAUGAUGUCGCGACGAUCGCAACAGCAACAGCAGCAGCAGCAGCAGCCGCAACAACGGCAGCAUCGAUUACGCAAGGCAGUGGAGACCGCGAUGGUUUCGUCCAUCCGGCAUCAGUGUCCAAAGUGCGAGAAAUCCUUCUCGCAAAGCUACUCGAUGUACCGGCAUUAUAAAUACGAGUGCGACUCGUUGCCGCGUUAUCAGUGUCCUUAUUGUGGCCACGUGAGCAAAUGGUCCCACUCAAUCUACAAUCACAUCCGGAAACUCCAUCCGGGACAGCAGGUCACGGUGAACAAGCUCUAUUAGUCCUGUGGCAAUUGCUCGUACUUUAGGCCUAUCGUUCUGGAGAAGCAUCCCACGCGAAACUCCUGGCACUUGCUCAAACUUCAGACCGCCUUGAACCGGCGCGGUUUUCCAUGUCCUAAGUGCGCGCGCGUUUUCCACACUUCGGGCGGUAUGAGCCGUCAUUACAGGCUGGAGUGCGUCGAUCUGCCACGCUUCAAGUGUCCACACUGCGACAUGCGUAGCAAGUACACCCAAGCAGUAUACCGGCACAUCCGAGUGAAACAUCAGAACAUGGAAAGGCGAUUCGUCAAGCUAUAUUAAAAAUACGAGGUCGAAAAGACUGAGAUUCAACAAGAGAUAAACAUAUACACUCUACAUUACAUCCACAGUUUACGUCACAGACUUUUAUAAGAUUAAAAUAUUAGACACAAAGAGUGCAACGAUUCGCUUAAAAAUCAUUGAAAAAUUUUACAGGCAAAUACGAUAAAAAAUUGUAAAAUAAUAUGUAUUAUUUCUGUAAAA
Pseudomyrmex gracilis is the source of this 3802-nucleotide RNA transcript. It is a transcript of the gene named zinc finger and SCAN domain-containing protein 9-like, with no coding region annotated. The record is from RefSeq and is a predicted model, not a curated record. Lineage: Eukaryota; Metazoa; Arthropoda; Insecta; Hymenoptera; Formicidae. The transcript is spliced from 2 exons.